GCUGAAUUCUUGAUCGCCACUUGUGUCUUGCUUCCUAUAGCUGUUUACCUUUUUUCAGUGACUGAAAUGUAAGACACACUUCCUUCCUGCUUCCAUGAAGACUAUUUCCUUUGAUCUCUUAUCACACACAAUCAAUCAGAUGCCAGCAGUGUCCCAGAAGACUGGAUGGCUGGGCUGCGCCUAACUGGGAGUUUUCAAAAACAGCAUAAGGGAAGUUGCUCCAGCUCCAAGCACAGUGCCGUCCUUCUGGACUCAGAGGGCUGCUGAUAGCAUCCCGGCUGCUUGGUUCCCCACCUGUUUGACUGCAGAACAACAGGGUCACAUUAGGCACACAGGAAUGUAUCAGAGUCUCAAGAGCACCUGCACAAAAGCCAGGGGUUGUGGAGCUUGGCGAUGGGAAACAGUGAACCUGUGAUUCCUUCUAACUCCUGGAAAACAGUCUUCUCUAUUCUGCCCCAUCCAGAGCCCAGCAUACGGCUCUGCCUGUGCUGAGACCCGUCUGGUCUUGAAUUUUGCUGCACAGAACUGAGAAAGAAUGAGCACUCUCUAGAAGUAAAAACUGGUCUCUGUGUUUCUAAGGAACUGAUGAUGGUAUGGAGAGAUGCAGAAGGACACCCACAGAUGAGAUAGAAGAGUGGGGCCCAACAUGACGUUCGGGGUGUCCCUACUGAAUUCCGUAGCCACUACCCACAUGUGGCUAAUGAGCACCUGAAAUGUGGCUAGGGCAACUGAGGCACGGAAUUUUA
Rhinolophus ferrumequinum (greater horseshoe bat) is the source of this 746-nucleotide long non-coding RNA. RefSeq lists it as uncharacterized. Lineage: Eukaryota; Metazoa; Chordata; Mammalia; Chiroptera; Rhinolophidae. The record is from RefSeq and is a predicted model, not a curated record. The transcript is spliced from 3 exons.